This 253-nucleotide ribosomal RNA is filed under the name uncultured bacterium. Its description in RNAcentral is "partial 16S ribosomal RNA". It matches the Rfam family "Bacterial small subunit ribosomal RNA", at positions 524 to 776 of the family's 1533-position model. The record is from RNAcentral.
UACGAAGGGGGCUAGCGUUGCUCGGAAUCAUUGGGCGUAAAGGGUGCGUAGGCGGGUCUUUAAGUCAGGGGUGAAAUCCUGGAGCUCAACUCCAGAACUGCCUUUGAUACUGAAGAGCUUGAGUUCGGGAGAGGUGAGUGGAACUGCGAGUGUAGAGGUGAAAUUCGUAGAUAUUCGCAAGAACACCAGUGGCGAAGGCGGCUCACUGGCCCGAUACUGACGCUGAGGCACGAAAGCGUGGGGAGCAAACGGG